CAGCCGCCGCGGUAAUACGUAGGUGGCAAGCGUUGUCCGGAAUUAUUGGGCGUAAAGGGCUCGCAGGCGGUUUCUUAAGUCUGAUGUGAAAGCCCCCGGCUCAACCGGGGAGGGUCAUUGGAAACUGGGAAACUUGAGUGCAGGAGAGGAGAGUGGAAUUCCACGUGUAGCGGUGAAAUGCGUAGAGAUGUGGAGGAACACCAGUGGCGAAGGCGACUCUCUGGUCUGUAACUGACGCUGAGGAGCGAAAGCGUGGGGAGCGAACAGGAUUAGAUACCCCAGUAGUCCCUGUCUCUUAUAA
This 301-nucleotide ribosomal RNA is filed under the name uncultured bacterium. Its description in RNAcentral is "partial 16S ribosomal RNA". It matches the Rfam family "Bacterial small subunit ribosomal RNA", at positions 509 to 809 of the family's 1533-position model. The record is from RNAcentral.